Long non-coding RNA from Populus trichocarpa (black cottonwood), 1224 nucleotides. RefSeq lists it as uncharacterized. Lineage: Eukaryota; Viridiplantae; Streptophyta; Magnoliopsida; Malpighiales; Salicaceae. The transcript has 6 exons. The record is from RefSeq and is a predicted model, not a curated record.
AAUUUAGCAACGGAUAAUUCCGUUGCUAAAUUCAGUAACGGAUUUGCAACGGAUUACACAUAUAUUAGUUUUUUAAUAUCAGCAACGGAAUUUAGCAACGGAUUAUCCGUUGCAAAAUUUACGUUGAAUUUAGCAACGGAUUUUCCGUUGCUAAUUAAAAAAUAAUUAUUUAAAUUUUAAUAUAAAACCAAAAUUACGAACACCGUUGAUUACAUUUACAAAUAUUAAAUCUCAACCGUCUAUUUUUCGCUGGCUUUGUAAAUUAACACCAGGAUUGCUCUCCCCCCACACCAUUCAUGUUUACAGAGACGAAAUGAACAAAACCAACAGAUGAAAUUAAUGAUCUUCCACUCUUCCAGUCUCCUUCGUCCCUAACAACAUCGAUCCAUAACUGUAGAAAAAUCAAUCUCUCUUCAUCGAUUUGAUUUUCCUUUAUCCCAAACAUUUCAUCUUCUUCACGUCUUCAGCAACCCUAAUUUCUUUUCUUCAUCUUCUUCUCCUUCAUCCGAACAAAAUCGAACCAGACCCAUCAUUAUCACCAUCGGACAUGCUGAUUUAAGGUAUCUCCUUGUAAACGGGUUGGGUGUUUCACGGUUUUCUUCAAUAGUUCAGGUUUCUUUCUGUCCCUGUAGAACGAUCUCGGUCACCUGUAACUCAAGAACACAGGAGAAACCUCAACUAUUUCAGUUUGUUCCAAAUUAAAAGCAGGUCAAGGCAGCACACCAACUUCUCAAGACUAUUCCACAUAGCUAUGGGAGCAGGAGGGUUGAUGGAGUUCCUGUUUUCAGCAAACAAAAUUCAGAUAUUGCAAUAGCUACCAAAGACGGGAUUAAGUGCAAUAUGAAUGGCUUAUUGGAUCACAAUAUAAAUCAAUAGAGUUGGCUAAGUCUGAUUGGGUUGCAACAAGGAAAUCUCCACCUUGGGCCAUUGAUUAUUGGGGCUUUGCAAUAUGAAUGGCUUAUUGGAUCAUAAUAUAAUCCAAUAGAGUUCGCUAAAUCUGAUUGGGUUGCAAUAAGAAAACCUCCACCUUGUGCCAUUGAUUCUUGGGGCUUAGGUAAGUCUAUUUUGCUCCAUUUUUACAUGGUUGCUUAAUUAUAUCGUGCAUAAUUUUUUUGUUGUGCAUGCCUAUUGUAAUCUUUUCAAGUAGUUCGAACUCUGCCUUUCAUUGGGACAAUAUUGAUAGUUUAUAUAAGAAAACUAAUUGAAUGAUUUUCUUUUAUUAAA